CCUCCUUCUCCUGUCAUCCCAGUGCCAUGACUACUUGGAUCCAGAAACUUAAUUGCAAGUAAGUAAACUGCUUUGAUGAAAUUGUAUAAUGGAAACUAGAUCCAAGUAGUCAUGGCACUGACCUACUGGAUAGAGCCU
Molecule: non-coding RNA, 138 nt
Filed under: Wolbachia endosymbiont of Drosophila melanogaster
Lineage: Bacteria; Pseudomonadati; Pseudomonadota; Alphaproteobacteria; Rickettsiales; Anaplasmataceae
Description: WsnRNA46
Rfam family: Wolbachia sRNA 46 (bases 20-120)
Source: RNAcentral